RNAcentral lists this transfer RNA (61 nucleotides) under Schistosoma rodhaini. Its description in RNAcentral is "tRNA-Cys". Lineage: Eukaryota; Metazoa; Platyhelminthes; Trematoda; Strigeidida; Schistosomatidae. The record is from RNAcentral.
GAGUGUGAUUAUAAAUAUUUUGCAAAAAUAUUUUAGACUAAUAGUGUUGAGUCCACACUUU